This 146-nucleotide unclassified non-coding RNA is filed under the name soil metagenome. RNAcentral's name for it is "partial internal transcribed spacer 1". The record is from RNAcentral.
UAAUAAGUGUUUUAUGGCACUUUUUAAAUCCAUAUCCACCUUGUGUGCAAUGUCAGUCGAUCUUCUUUUCAUGGAAUCGACCAAACAUCAACCUUUAUCUUUUAACUCUUUGUCUGAAAAAUAUUAUGAAUAAACAAUUCAAAAUA